ACAGCAGUAGCCGCGGUAAUACGUAGGGUGCGAGCGUUAAUCGGAAUUACUGGGCGUAAAGCGUGCGCAGGCGGCUUUGCAAGACAGAUGUGAAAUCCCCGGGCUCAACCUGGGAACUGCAUUUGUGACUGCAAGGCUAGAGUGCGGCAGAGGGAGAUGGAAUUCCGCGUGUAGCAGUGAAAUGCGUAGAUAUGCGGAGGAACACCGAUGGCGAAGGCAAUCUCCUGGGCCUGCACUGACGCUCAUGCACGAAAGCUAGGGGAGCAAAUGGGAUUAGAUACCCGUGUAGUCCCUGUCUCUUAUAC
Molecule: ribosomal RNA, 305 nt
Filed under: uncultured bacterium
Lineage: Bacteria
Description: partial 16S ribosomal RNA
Rfam family: Bacterial small subunit ribosomal RNA
Source: RNAcentral